AAUGGAACUGUCCUCCUUAGA
Molecule: transfer RNA, 21 nt
Filed under: Vallatia vallata errata
Lineage: Eukaryota; Metazoa; Mollusca; Gastropoda; Stylommatophora; Clausiliidae
Description: Isabellaria vallata errata partial tRNA-Met
Source: RNAcentral